UUGGUAGUUUUAUUUUAUUACUUCUAUCAUGAUUGGUUAAUCUGGCUGUCAUUCAGGAAACUGGACAAUGAAUCGGUUCGCGCCUUUCUACAUUUAAAAAUAUGACCGUUAUUGUCGUCUUUCUGUGAGUGAGGCGGCUAACUGUGAGCUGCUGCUCGUUAUAACUGACUGCUCUAUCGGUCCCGAAUUAUUUCAUAUUUGCCUGUACAUUUUUUAUUUAUUUUGAGCGAAUUUGAGUCGUGACAUGUCAAUGGAGAACAAAAACUGUGAACACAAGAAGGGUCAGGUGUUCUGCGAGGUCCUGAAAACAUCCUGGCAAAAUGAGAGUCAUCGAGGAUCCAGCUUGUUCUUGAAACAUUGAAGUUUGCCCUCUGCAAGUGAACGACGCCUUGUGGUGCCAUCCCAAAGAAGUUCACAAUCACUCUCACGGACCUUUUCCUGGACUGUACCCAGCUGGUGGAAUCACCUCCCAAUCUCAAUCCAAACUGCUG
Carassius gibelio (silver crucian carp) is the source of this 491-nucleotide long non-coding RNA. RefSeq lists it as uncharacterized. The transcript has 3 exons. Lineage: Eukaryota; Metazoa; Chordata; Actinopteri; Cypriniformes; Cyprinidae. The record is from RefSeq and is a predicted model, not a curated record.